ACAGACACAUAAUGGGAAUCAACAGAUCAAGAGCUUAGAGAUUCAAGAGUUUAAGCUUUUACAACUUCCUUCUGUUUGUCACUUGAAAAGCUUCGGUAUUAGCUAUUGCCCAAAUGAAUACCACACAGUGAUAGAUGGAUCAGAUUCAGUACUCUGAGAAGUACUUCGACAACAUUUAUGAGUAUAAGCACGUGGUUCUCCCACCCGAAGUGGCAAAGUUGCUUCCUAAGAGUCGUCUGCUCUCGGAAGCCAAAGAGAUUGGAACGGUAUAAAUGAAUCUCAAUGGCCUGGGUAUUGAGAAGAUAUUGUGUAAUUCAUUUGGUACAACUUUUGGGAAAAAAAUUUCUUCUAUAAUAUAACAAGCUAAAGACAAGAUCAACCUCCCAAGAUCCUAGCUAAAAGGUUCAACCGGAGUCGACAACUUCAUGAGUUUUCUUUCAAAGAAUAUUUUCAGAGACGAAC
Long non-coding RNA from Cucumis sativus (cucumber), 462 nucleotides. RefSeq lists it as uncharacterized. Lineage: Eukaryota; Viridiplantae; Streptophyta; Magnoliopsida; Cucurbitales; Cucurbitaceae. The record is from RefSeq and is a predicted model, not a curated record. The transcript has 6 exons.